CAGCGCCACAAGUGGGGGUCAUAAUUAUUGGGCCUAAAGCGUCCGUAGCUGGUUAGAUAAAUCUCUUGUGAAAUCGUGGAGCUUAACUUCACGGCGUGCAGGAGACACUAUUUGACUUGGAACCGGGAGGAGUAAGAGGUAUUCUGGGGGGAGCGGUAAAAUGCUAUAAUCCCUGGAGGACCACCGAUAGCGAAGGCAUCUUACUAGAACGGAUUCGACAGUGAGGGACGAAAGCCAGGGGAGCGAACCGGAUUAGAUACCCGAGUAGUCC
RNAcentral lists this ribosomal RNA (271 nucleotides) under uncultured archaeon. Its description in RNAcentral is "partial 16S ribosomal RNA". It matches the Rfam family "Archaeal small subunit ribosomal RNA", at positions 477 to 747 of the family's 1478-position model. The record is from RNAcentral.